Molecule: ribosomal RNA, 254 nt
Filed under: uncultured bacterium
Lineage: Bacteria
Description: partial 16S ribosomal RNA
Rfam family: Bacterial small subunit ribosomal RNA
Source: RNAcentral
UACAGAGGGUGCAAGCGUUAAUCGGAAUUACUGGGCGUAAAGCGUGCGUAGACGGUUACAUAAGUCGGGUGUGAAAGCCCCGGGCUCAACCUGGGAAUUGCAUUCGAGACUGCGUAGCUAGGGUGCGGAAGAGGGAAGCGGAAUUUCCGGUGUAGCGGUGAAAUGCGUAGAUAUCGGAAGGAACACCAGUGGCGAAAGCGGCUUCCUGGUCCAGCACCGACGUUUUAGGCACGAAAGCGUGGGGAGCAAACAGG